GACGAACGCUGGCGGCGUUCCUAAUACAUGCAAGUCGAACGCAGUGGGGACGGGUGAGUAACACGUGGGUAACCUCCCCAUCAGAGGGGAUAACACUUGGAAACAGGUGCUAAACCGAUACUGAUGGAUGGACCCGCGGUGCAUUAGCUAAUGGGUGAGGUACGGGCUAACCAAGGCAACGAUGCAUCGCCGACCUGAUAGGGUGAGCGGCAACACUGGAACUGAGACACGGCCCAGACUCCUACGGUAGGCAGCAGUAGGGAAUCUUCGGCAAUGGACGAAAGUCUGACCGAGCAACGCCGCGUGAGUGAAGAAGGUUUUCGGAUCGUAAAACUCUGUUGUUAGAGAAGCGGUAUCUAACCAGAAAGCCACGGCUAACUACGUGCCAGCAGCCGCGGUAAUUC
This 404-nucleotide ribosomal RNA is filed under the name uncultured bacterium. RNAcentral describes it as "partial 16S ribosomal RNA". It matches the Rfam family "Bacterial small subunit ribosomal RNA", at positions 28 to 526 of the family's 1533-position model. The record is from RNAcentral.